GGAAAUUCAAUUACAUAAACUAUGUAAAAAAAAGAAUUAAUCUCACAGCUUCUGCUCCUUGGUUUGUCAGAACCAAAGAGCCACCUCCAUUUGUCUCGGUAUUCAUAUCUCUAAAGCACUGGUGUUGGUGUUUUCCUAAAGUCAUACAAACAAUUACAUAUCAAAGAAAAUUUCAUGAUUUGUUUCACUAAUUCUACUUAAAGACAGUGAGUAAUCUAACAUAUAGCCUCAUAAGCUAAGAAAUUGUGGUGGAAUUAGUAAUUUCAAGAGUAAAUUACACGAAUGGUCCCUAUGGUUUGGGGUAAUUUGCACGUUUAGUUCCUAACUUAUUUUUUUAACUCGGAAGGUCCUAUUGUUUGUUUUUGUUAUGCGUUUGGUCCCUACUGUUUGUUUUUAUUACACGUUUGGUCCCUAUCAUACCUAAAAGACUAUUAUUUAAAUAGAGAAAAAUGACGGGGUAAGUAAGGUAAGGUGAAUGAGGUGGGAUUGAGGGUGUGUUUAUUUAAAUAAAUCAAAAAAUCAAGGGAAAAAUAAUAGUUUUAGGUAAGUCAGGGACCAAACGCGUAACAAAAACAAACAGUAAGAACUUCCAAGUUAAAAAAAUAAGUUCGGGAUCAAACGCGCAAAUUAACCUAUACCGGACUGAAAAUUUGAAGUGUGGAAACAACAAAAUAUGAAAUCUACAUCAUAGUCAUGUAAACGUUUUUAAUAUGGUUUGAAAUGGACAAAAAAAAAGGUGAAGAAAAAUUAAUCAUUCCUUAAGAACAUGUUCAAUCCAAGAUAAAAACGCAUUCCUCAAAUUUACGUAAAGAUAUUCACAAAAAAUGAACAAAUACAUCAUGUAGAUUAUCAAUAAAAGGAAAGAGCAUACCUUACAGAAGUUCGAUUGAUGAAGAAUCUGUCGCCGUAUCCGUAAUCGGAAAAACCCUAAAACGCAACGCUCGUAAUAAACCCUAAAAGCCGGCGACCAAGAGUCUUCGCAGUAAGGGAUUCAUAGCUUCAGCUCCAUGGAAGAUGCGAA
Molecule: long non-coding RNA, 1021 nt
Filed under: Lactuca sativa (garden lettuce)
Lineage: Eukaryota; Viridiplantae; Streptophyta; Magnoliopsida; Asterales; Asteraceae
Description: long non-coding RNA (LSAT_LNC002546)
Source: RNAcentral